This 440-nucleotide ribosomal RNA is filed under the name uncultured bacterium. Its description in RNAcentral is "bacterial SSU rRNA". It matches the Rfam family "Bacterial small subunit ribosomal RNA", at positions 29 to 519 of the family's 1533-position model. The record is from RNAcentral.
AACGAACGCUGGCGGCAUGCCUAACACAUGCAAGUCGAACGAGACCUUCGGGUCUAGUGGCGCACGGGUGCGUAACGCGUGGGAUCUGCCCUUUGCUUCGGAAUAACAGUUAGAAAUGACUGCUAAUACCGGAUGAUGACUUCGGUCCAAAGAUUUAUCGGCAAAGGAUGAACCCGCGUAGGAUUAGCUAGUUGGUGGGUAAAGGCCUACCAAGGGCGACGAUCCUUAGCUGGUCUGAGAGGAUGAUCAGCCACACUGGGACUGAGACACGGCCCAGACUCCUACGGGAGGCAGCAGUGGGGAAUAUUGGACAAUGGGCGAAAGCCUGAUCCAGCAAUGCCGCGUGAGUGAUGAAGGCCUUAGGGUUGUAAAGCUCUUUACCGGGAUGAUAAUGACAGUACCGGAGAAUAAGCUCGGCUAACUCCGUGCCAGCAGCCGCG